UACGGAGGGUGCAAACGUUGCUCGGAAUCAUUGGGCGUAAAGCGCACGUAGGCAGUCUUGCAAGUCGGGUGUGAAAUCCCUCGGCUUAACCAAGGAAGUGCACUCGAAACUGCAAGACUUGAGUACUGGAGAGGAUCGCGGAAUUCUCGGUGUAGAGGUGAAAUUCGUAGAUAUCGGGAGGAACACCAGUGGCGAAGGCGGCGAUCUGGUCAGAUACUGACGCUGAGGUGCGAAAGCGUGGGGAGCAAACAGG
This 253-nucleotide ribosomal RNA is filed under the name uncultured bacterium. RNAcentral's name for it is "partial 16S ribosomal RNA". It matches the Rfam family "Bacterial small subunit ribosomal RNA", at positions 524 to 776 of the family's 1533-position model. The record is from RNAcentral.